AAUGCAAAAUUUUAUUUCUCUUACUUGAAAAAAAGUUACAAUUUGAACAGCAAAUUGACAAAGAAUAGUUACAAUUUGAAUGAAUAUAAUCAUGCAAACAAAGACUAUUCUGUGCUUCGCUGGAGCGCUGCAUUGCACAAGAAGACAGCUUUGGUGCGGGCAGGUUUGAGUUUGCUGCUACCAGAGUCCUUCAGUUUUUAUACGAACAUUGUUACUGUGACGCUCUGAAUGUGGUCGCAGCAAAUACGCAAUGUUAAAACUGUCGACGAUUCUUCGUAAUUUCCGCGUCCAUCAGCGAUUCAACUGAAAAGGACUUCAGGCUUUAGGCCUUUUUCAUAUUUUCUUUAGGACAUUUUCUCAAAUUUUUCAUAUUGUAUAUAUAUUUAUAUGCUUGUAUCAUUAUAUGCUUCAUAUUGUAUCUUAUAAGUAUAUAUGCUUGUAUUUUUGUUCUGGUUACACCUUUAAUGUUCUGACGGAACUUCCGAGUUCCGAAAGUGCCAU
Ctenocephalides felis (cat flea) is the source of this 501-nucleotide long non-coding RNA. RefSeq lists it as uncharacterized. The transcript has 3 exons. The record is from RefSeq and is a predicted model, not a curated record. NCBI's taxonomy places the organism in Eukaryota, Metazoa, Arthropoda, Insecta, Siphonaptera, Pulicidae.